GUUUCCAGUCCCUCUGACUCUGUCACUGCAUGACCAGUGAGACCUGAGGAGAAGUUUCCGAGGACACUGGGCCUCCCUGGACAGAGAGGCAAAGCUCCAUCUAGGGAGGCUGCUGCAUGCGGAGGACCAAUUGUGGGUCGUGGUGCUCCACAGGGAGCACAUCCCACUCACCUCAUCAUCCCACUGACGCAUCUCCACCACCGCACACCAGCACUCCAUCAGCAGAACCACCAACGAUCUUACCCUGGCUUUCAUUAAGGCCUGUGAAGAGCCGCAUUUCCCCAAGGAAAUGCUCCUCAACAAGUGCCUUCUGCUGCUCACUCAGGGGUUCAACAAGUUCUUUCAUCAUCAGCUCCUCCUCCUGGUCCUCACCAAGUUCUUCUGCAUCUGCACCAUGAACAUCCAGACCCAUACUCAUGUCCAUGGACACAACCUCCUCCACUGCUUGUGCAUCAGAACCUGGAAAGUCACAUUCUGAUCACAGUUUCUUCCAGCGUGAGUGGGGUGUCGCCUACGCUACGUGACAUAUUUCCAGGCUUUGUCAAUGAGGUUGAUGCAGGAUGUUGAAAUGUUUCUUCCAGAACUCUUUCAGAGGUAAAGAUAUCUCUUCAGUGACAUUAAGCCCACUGCUGAGAGUGCCUUUGUGUACAGCUUCUUGAAGUUGCAGAUCACUCACUGGUCCAUGGGCAGCAGAAGAGGUGUCGUGUUGAGAGGGGAGGAACUUGACCUUUAUGAAGCCAUGUUUAGCAUCUGUUAUGGCUUGUGUCUAGAUAUCCUCCCAGAGUCUCAUGUCAUCAUAGAUAGGACUUUGCAGAAGUGGUUGGAUCUAGGGUGUGUGCUGCUGGAAUAAAAAAUAUGAUGCUGGGAUUGAUUCAAAGUGUGAUGCUAGGAGUAAGGGUGCCCCAUCCUGAGGGUGAGCGCCACCCUCCCUAAGAGUGGGGAGUCUGGAUAAGACACCAGAGACAGAGAGAGGGUUGUUGCUUGCUGCUUGCUGCUUUCUGCCUGCCCUGCUUUGCCAUGAACUGUUUCUCCUUUGUGAUGUCCCUCAGCCACACUACCCUGCCUGACAACUGUGAACUGAACUCUCUAUAAACUCUGUGAGCAAAAUGAACCUUCCUUCCCUUAACUUUGGAUAUUUAGUCUCAGCAAGAAGAAAAGUGCUUAAGACAGUGUCUGUAUCAUCCACCAAGGCUGGAGGGCAUGCUGGGGGCACUGUCCUUCAGAAGGAGGAAUCUUUGAGGUGGUUGGUCAUCAGAAAGAUAUUCCUUAAUAGUGGAUACUAACACCUCAUGCAGCCAUUCCAUGAGCAAUUGCCUUGUGACCCAAGCUUUCACAGUGACCCUGCACAUGACACUACACACGAUGUUCCUUGAAUGCAAGAAGGGUCUUAGCAGCAGUGGAUUAAUCUCUGGAUCAGCAUUUGCAUUUGCACACAGUAAAAGGGUCAACUGUCCUUCACGAGCUUGCGCCCUGGAAGUGUAUUUUUCUCCUGCAUGACAGAUAUUUUGUUCAGCAUUUUCUCCCAGAAGAGCCCUGGUUCAGCACUUGUUGAAUGAUGUAUCCUUCUGCUUUCAUGAAUUUGAUGAAUUCUUUUUAUAGGUGUCUACAGUGACCUUGUCAGGACUGAAAGCCUCAGCAUGUCUUAUCACACUCUGGGGGUCAUUUCUCUUGUAGAAUUUAUCAAGCGACCCUCUCCUGCCUUUAAAUUCAUCACUUGUUGCUCUUAUAGAGGGGUUUUCUUGCAGCAACUCACUGCAAUUUCCUGGAUUUUUCACAGCUCAUAGAUUCCCUAACACUCUCCCUUGCAGCUGCUUCUCAUUCAACCACACUAACAGGAAAUUUCCAACCUCUUCCAGUUCUUGUGUCCUCUGCUUGUUUAACAUUGUUACUCCUUUUGUGAUUAACAUUGUCACCCCCUUUGAUGGCAUCUUUAGUCUCCAAAUAGUCAAAUUAUCUUGACUAUCUUGCACCGCAAGGCCAGGUCAGUUACACUAACACCACACUUGUGCUUUGCUACAAUCCCCUUAAUUCAAUGGUGAUUUUCUUUAAAAAUUUCUUCUUACCUUUCUUGCUUCGCACUUUUUUGUUGGAUUCAUUAUUGUGAUCAUCCUGUGUAAGCCUCCUGAGUAUCUGGGAUGAUAGGUGUGUGCCACCAUUCUGACUCCAGCAUUUUUUGUUCUGAUGCUGGGCUGAGGACCUGGCACCUGCUAGAUGAGUGCUUUCCCAUGGAGCUAUCAUCCCAGCCCCAAAUGUUAGGUUCGUGAUCACUUUGUACUUUCUUGUCACUUUCAUUAAUGCUCUGCACUUUCUUUGGAGCCGUACUGGAUUGAAUAAUACUGUACAGCUAAAAGCACACAAAAUCCUUCACUGAAAAAGUGUGCAGGUUUGUGUGUGACUGUGGCCUCGACUAGAGGAAGCCAUGACUCCAUGUCAGAGCAGGGAAGAUGCUUGCAGUCAUGUUCAUCACCUGAUGUGAAGUUUGUGAAUGGAAGUAAAAUGUUGCUAAACGUUUCUGUUCAUGAGCUGAAUUACAGAAACAUUUAUGAACCGAGGUAUUUACAGUACUUGAUGCAAAUUUAACCAAGGAAGUGAAAGACCUGUACACUGAAUACUAGAAAACACUGAUGAAACUGCAUAAAACAUAGUCCUUGUUCAUCACUUGAAAGAUUAAUACUGUGAAAAUGUACAUACUAUCCAAUCUACAGAUUCAGUGCAAUUCCAGUUCCAAAAUUCCAGUGCCAUAUUUAUAGAAAAUGCUUAAAUUUAAGUGGGGACACAAAGGACCCCUAACAGCCAAAAUAAUUUCAUCAAAAAUAAUAAAGCUCGAGGCAUCACAGACAUAGAUUUCAAAAUAUAUUUUACAUGAGGCAAUUUUAAUCAACACAGAAUGGUACUGACACAAAAAUAGACACCUCAAACAAUGGAACAAAGUAGAAUGCCCAGAAAUGAAUACAUAUAUUUGCGGUCAAGUGAUUUUUGACAAAAGUGCCAAGAACACACAUGGGGAAAGACAGUCUCUUCAAUAAAUGAUGAAUAACUGGUUAUUUAUUGAAUUUGAUACUUACGUCAGACCAUAUUCAAAAAACAAAUUCAACAUGGAUUAAAGACUUAAAAAUAUUAAGACCUGAAAUUAAAAUUACUAGAAGAAAACACAGAGAAAAAAAUCACAUGGCAUUGGUCUGAGCAACAAUCUUUUUGGCUAUAAUUCUGAAAGCACGUGUAACAAAAGUAAAAAUAGAAAAUAAGAUGGCAUCACACUAAAAGGCUUCUCUGCACAGCACAAUAAAUAACUCACAGAAUAAAGAGACAAAGUACAGAGUGGGAGGAAACAUUUGUAAGCCAGAUAUCUGAUAAAGAAUUAAUACAAAAUAUACAAGAGACUCAAAAACUUUAUAACAAGAAAACAGCUUAAUUUAAAACUAGACAAAGAACCUGAAAAAACAUUUUUCAAAACAAGAUGGCACCCAGUACAUGCAGAAAUCCUCUGUCAUCACCAACCAUUAAAGAAAUGCUGAUUAAAAACAGAAUGACAUAACUCGUACAUGUCAAAAUGGCUUUAUCAAAAAGAUUAAAGAUACAUACAGCACUGGUGAAGACCUGGAGAAAACAGAAAAGGCAAUUCUUACACAAUAUUGGUGGGAGAAUAAAUUAGUAUAGCCAUUACGGAAAAUGAUAAGAAAUUUCCUUAACGUAAUAGAAAUCAGCAUUACCAUAUGAUUUACCAAUCCUAUUUCUGAAUAUAAAUCUAAAGAUUCUGAGAUAAAUAUAUCAAAGGAGUAUUUACACUCCUCUGUUGAUUGCAGCAUUUCCUACAAUAGCCAAGAUAUGGAAUCAAUUUAAUGUUCAUUGGUGAUGAAUGGAUGAAUGGAUAAAGAGGAUGGAUACAUACAUCCAGAUGAAUAUAUUAUAUAUUAGGCAGUCUUUUAAAAGAAGGAAGUCUUUUUUUCAGGAUGGAAAAACCUAGUUUACAUUACGUUAAGUACAAUGAACCAGGAGCAGAAAGGCUAACAUGUAUUCACUUAUGAAUGGAACCGAAAAUAGUUGAAUUCAGAGAAGAAGAAAUCAGAAAGAUGAUUGCCAGAGCUGGGAAGGUGGAGGAAGGAGAAAAUGCAGAGUUGGUCAAACGCUGCAAAAUUUCAGAUGAACAAGUGGAGUAAGCUUUUUUCCUAAUAUCUAUUAUUUUUUGCUCUUUAUAUAUUGGAUGUCUCAUUUAAGAGAAAUCUCACAAUAUUUAACCUGUGUGUCUGAUUUAUUUUACUUAACAUUAUGGUCUCAAGGUGCAUCCAUUUUCCAACACAUGGACUCAAGUUUAUCCUUCUUUAUGGCAGAGUAGUACUUCAUUGUGUAUAAAUACUGCAUUUUCUUUGUUCAUUUAUGUGUUGUAUAUAUAGGUCACUUCCAAGAUUUAGAUAUUAUGAAUUGUGCUGCUUUAAAACAAGUGGAAUAAGUUUUGUGACCUACUGAACAGCAGUGUGACAACUGUCACUAGUUAUUGCAUUUCAAUAGUAAAUAUCUCACCAUAAAAAAUAAGAGUGAGGGAUGGCUAUGUUAAUUAGCUUGAGUCAGUCAUUU
Long non-coding RNA from Cavia porcellus (domestic guinea pig), 4572 nucleotides. The record is from Ensembl. NCBI's taxonomy places the organism in Eukaryota, Metazoa, Chordata, Mammalia, Rodentia, Caviidae.